UAUACUAAUGAGCGAUAGUGAAGGAGAGCAGGGACCAAGCUAAUUUUCUGAAUAUUUAGGAGAGGAAGAUCAACUCUUUUCUACAACUUUGGGGUAAAGGCAUAGUAUUAUGUUAACAUAAUUUAAUUAGCUUAAUUUUAGUUUAUUAAUGGUAUUAUAUUAUUAUUUUAUGUUUCUGAUGUUAUAUUAUUACCCUUUUCAACUUGCAAGUUUUUAUUUUUUAUUAAAAUUGUAUUUAAAUAUUAUUUAAGUCAGAGUUAGCUAGCUCGAGGUACACCUGCACGGCUCCAUAGCUCAGUGGACAGAGCGCUGGUCUCCUAAACCAGAGGUCGCGAGUUCGAUUCUCGCUGGAGUCGCAGUUAGCUAGCUCGAGGUACACCUGCACGGCUCCAUAGCUCAGUGGACAGAGCGCUGGUCUUCUAAACCAGAGGUCGCGAGUUCGAUCCUCGCUGGAGUCGCAGCUAGCUAGCACGAGGGAAACCUGCACGGCUCCAUAGCUCAGUGGACAGAGCGCUGGUCUACGAAACCAGAGGUCGCGAGUUCGAUUCUCGCUGGAGUCGCAGCUAGCUAGCUCGAGGGAAACCUGCACGGCUCCAUAGCUCAGUGGACAGAGCGCUGGUCUACGAAACCAGAGGGCGCGAGUUCGAUCCUCGCUGGAGUCGCAGUUAGCUAGCUCGAGGUACACCUGCACGGCUCCAUAGCUCAGUGGACAGAGCGCUGGUCUACGAAACCAGAGGUCGCGAGUUCGAUUCUCGCUGGAGUCGCAGCUAGCUAGCACGAGGGAAACCUGCACGGCUCCAUAGCUCAGUGGACAGAGCGCUGGUCUCCGAAACCAGAGGUCGCGAGUUCGAU
Molecule: long non-coding RNA, 852 nt
Organism: Astyanax mexicanus (Mexican tetra)
Lineage: Eukaryota; Metazoa; Chordata; Actinopteri; Characiformes; Acestrorhamphidae
Exons: 3
Source: RefSeq, a predicted model, not a curated record